Molecule: ribosomal RNA, 484 nt
Filed under: uncultured bacterium
Lineage: Bacteria
Description: partial 16S ribosomal RNA
Rfam family: Bacterial small subunit ribosomal RNA
Source: RNAcentral
AUUGAACGCUGGCGGCAGGCCUAACACAUGCAAGUCGAGCGGAUGAAGGGAGCUUGCUCCUGGAUUCAGCGGCGGACGGGUGAGUAAUGCCUAGGAAUCUGCCUGGUAGUGGGGGAUAACGUCCGGAAACGGGCGCUAAUACCGCAUACGUCCUGAGGGAGAAAGUGGGGGAUCUUCGGACCUCACGCUAUCAGAUGAGCCUAGGUCGGAUUAGCUAGUUGGUGGGGUAAAGGCCUACCAAGGCGACGAUCCGUAACUGGUCUGAGAGGAUGAUCAGUCACACUGUAACUGAGACACGGUCCAGACUCCUACGGGAGGCAGCAGUGGGGAAUAUUGGACGAUGGGCGAAAGCCUGAUCCAGCCAUGCCGCGUGUGUGAAGAAGGUCUUCGGAUUGUAAAGCACUUUAAGUUGGGAGGAAGGGCAGUAAGUUAAUACCUUGCUGUUUUGACGUUACCAACAGAAGAAGCACCGGCUAACUUCGUG